This 253-nucleotide ribosomal RNA is filed under the name uncultured bacterium. Its description in RNAcentral is "partial 16S ribosomal RNA". It matches the Rfam family "Bacterial small subunit ribosomal RNA", at positions 524 to 776 of the family's 1533-position model. The record is from RNAcentral.
UACGUAGGGUGCAAGCGUUAAUCGGAAUUACUGGGUGUAAAGCGUGCGCAGGCGGUUUUGUAAGUCUGUCGUGAAAGCCCCGGGCUCAACAUGGGAAUUGCGAUGGAGACUGCAAGGCUUGAAUCUGGCAGAGGGGGGUAGAAUUCCACGUGUAGCAGUGAAAUGCGUAGAGAUGUGGAGGAACACCGAUGGCGAAGGCAGCCCCCUGGGUCAAGAUUGACGCUCAUGCACGAAAGCGUGGGGAGCAAACAGG